UGGGCGCGUUUCCGCCGCCGCACCGUGGAUUGCUUGCUCACCUUCUCUUUGGGGGAUUGUCUGUGCACCUCAGCCAGUUCUUUAGUGUAGAACUCCAAACUCCACACCCAGUGUGAGCUGCUGCUUCCCCAUUUGGGGCAGACACAACAAUUCCUCUCCAGGCCUGGCAAUCAAGGACCCCUCACUGCCUCAGGCCUGAGAGAUGGAAACAAAAGUGAGCUGGGGGAGCAAACUUGGGGUAAAUGACUUCAUUAGCUGAAGCUGUAAUUGGCAGAUUCACCCCCAAAAUGCAAAUGGACCAAACUUAUAAAAGUGUGAAACCCAUGACCCAUCAUCCAUUUUUGGGUGUAGCCCCUGGGGGGCUUCAUCUGCCCUAAAUGUACCUGAAGACCCUUCAAUAAAUAGAACUGCUUUUUAUUCUCUU
Molecule: long non-coding RNA, 424 nt
Organism: Vidua macroura (Pin-tailed whydah)
Lineage: Eukaryota; Metazoa; Chordata; Aves; Passeriformes; Viduidae
Exons: 2
Source: RefSeq, a predicted model, not a curated record